Molecule: ribosomal RNA, 246 nt
Filed under: uncultured bacterium
Lineage: Bacteria
Description: partial 16S ribosomal RNA
Rfam family: Bacterial small subunit ribosomal RNA
Source: RNAcentral
AGUAACGCGUGGGCAACCUGCCCCGCACUGGGGGACGAACAGCCGGAAACGGCUGCUAAUACCGCAUAUGCGCACAGCUUUGCAUGAAGCAGUGUGGAAAACUCCGGUGGUGCGGGAUGGGCCCGCGUCUGAUUAGCUGGUUGGCGGGGCAACGGCCCACCAAGGCGACGAUCAGUAGCCGGCCUGAGAGGGUGGACGGCCACAUUGGGACUGAGACACGGCCCAGACUCCUACGGGAGGCAGCAG